Small nuclear RNA from Homo sapiens (human), 104 nucleotides. Lineage: Eukaryota; Metazoa; Chordata; Mammalia; Primates; Hominidae. The record is from Ensembl.
GUACUUGCUUUGGCAGCACAUACCCUAAAACUGGAAUGAUACAGAGAUUAGCCUGGCUCUUGUGCAAGGAUGACACACAAAUUUGUGAAGUGUUCCAUAUUUAA